GGCAGCUGAACGCUUACAACUGCUCCAUCAGCACAGACCAGCGAUGGCCUUCACUGCACUCUUCCUGUGGUCUCUCGUCGUCUGCAUUCAAGAUUCCAUGGGACAGGUCACUCUUACGCAACCUCCAGCAGUGACCAGCAGUCCAGGAGGCACAGUUAGAAUCAGCUGUAAACGCAGUGGAAGCAUUUAUAAGGACUACUGUUCUCCAAAAUGCAUCUCCUGGUAUCUGCAGAAGUCUGGAGAGAAUCCCAAACCUCUCAUCUACUCUGUGAGCAGCCUCCAGUCUGGUAUUCCAUCUCGGUUUAGUGGCAGUGGAUCUGGGAAUGACUUCAGUCUGACCAUCAGUGGAGUCCAGAGUGAAGAUGCAGGAGAUUAUUACUGCAUGAGUCGCCAUGAUCCUAGAAGUGGUGUUGCUGAGUGGACUUGUGACUCCUGGAUUAACAGUGUUUCAGUGCAAGAGAUCACACACAAAUUGCUUGGGAUUACAAAUAUAUUGCUUCCUCUCACAAAUACUGCUUGGGAUAUUGGGAUAUUCUGCUUAUAUGAUCUGAGGAUGACAAGCAUUAAUCAAGUCUAAUAAUUGAAAUACAUUACCCU
Non-coding RNA from Alosa sapidissima (American shad), 597 nucleotides. The record is from the annotation of a RefSeq genome assembly. NCBI's taxonomy places the organism in Eukaryota, Metazoa, Chordata, Actinopteri, Clupeiformes, Clupeidae.